Molecule: long non-coding RNA, 323 nt
Filed under: Phasianus colchicus (ring-necked pheasant)
Lineage: Eukaryota; Metazoa; Chordata; Aves; Galliformes; Phasianidae
Description: lncRNA (ENSPCLG00000001183.1)
Source: RNAcentral
GGCCCACCACAACACCCUGAGGCCCAGUAUUGGAUGGAAUAAGCUUGCAGCUCCCCAGCCCUUUCAUCACCAGAGCAGAACACCCUAUUGCUCCUAAAACAAAGUCAGGCAACUCUAUGAGCCUUCCACAUGGAAAUCUGAGCCAUCAAGCAUGUAGUAGAGGUGCAGUACCUGGAGCCACAGGAAUGCAGUGCUGGUGAGACACUCUGUGUUCUCCAGGAAAGGGUGUCUGCACCUCCAGACUUCACAGUCAACCUCAGACUGGACUGGUAUUGCUCAGCCAUAUGCAAACACAUGCAAUAAAUCAGUAUCUGUAGAAGCCA